GAUGAACGCUGGCGGCGUGCCUAAUACAUGCAAGUCGAGCGAACAGAUAAGGAGCUUGCUCCUUUGGCGUUAGCGGCGGACGGGUGAGUAACACGUGGGUAACCUACCUAUAAGACUGGAAUAACUCCGGGAAACCGGGGCUAAUGCCGGAUAACAUUUAGAACCGCAUGGUUCUAAAGUGAAAGAUGGUUUUGCUAUCACUUAUAGAUGGACCCGCGCCGUAUUAGCUAGUUGGUAAGGUAACGGCUUACCAAGGCAACGAUACGUAGCCGACCUGAGAGGGUGAUCGGCCACACUGGAACUGAGACACGGUCCAGACUCCUACGGGAGGCAGCAGUAGGGAAUCUUCCGAAAUGGGCGAAAGCCUGACGGAGAAACGCCGCGUGAGUGAUGAAGGUCUUCGGAUCGUAAAACUCUGUUAUUAGGGAAGAACAAAUGUGUAAGUAACUGUGCACGUCGUGACGGUACCUAAUCAGAAAGCCACGGCUAACUACGUG
This 497-nucleotide ribosomal RNA is filed under the name uncultured bacterium. RNAcentral describes it as "partial 16S ribosomal RNA". It matches the Rfam family "Bacterial small subunit ribosomal RNA", at positions 28 to 507 of the family's 1533-position model. The record is from RNAcentral.